RNAcentral lists this ribosomal RNA (254 nucleotides) under uncultured bacterium. Its description in RNAcentral is "partial 16S ribosomal RNA". It matches the Rfam family "Archaeal small subunit ribosomal RNA", at positions 474 to 727 of the family's 1478-position model. The record is from RNAcentral.
CCCCAGCGCCACAAGUGGCAUCCAGCUUUAUUUGGUCUAAAGCGUCCGUAGCUGGCGCGUUAAAUUCUCUGUGAAAUCGUGGCGCUUAACGUCACGGCGUGCAGAGAAGACUGGCGUGCUUGGGACCAGGAGAGGUAAGCGGUAUUCUUUGGGGAGCGGUAAAAUGCUAUAAUCCAAGGAGGACCACCGAUGGCGAAGGCAGCUUACCAGAAUGGAUCCGACAGUGAGGGACGAAAGCUAGGGGAGCGAUCCGG